AGAGUUUGAUCCUGGCUCAGAACGAACGCUGGCGGCGUGGAUAAGGCAUGCAAGUCGAACGAUCUCGCAAGAGAUAGUGGCAGGAGGGUUAGUAACACGUGGGUAAUCUACCCUUUGGUUAAGGAUAACUUCGCGAAAGCGAGGCUAAUACUGAAUAAAAUUUUCGGGACAUAUGUCCUGAAAAUCAAAGGUGGCUCGUAAGGGCUGCCGCCGAUUGAUGAGCCCGCGACCUAUCAGCUUGUUGGUGAGGUAAUGGCUCACCAAGGCUUUUGACGGGUAGCUGGUCUAAGAGGAUGGUCAGCAACACUGGGACUGAGACACUGCCCAGACUCCUACGGGAGGCUGCAGUCGAGGAUCUUUAUCAAUGCCCGAAAGGGUGAAUAUGCGACGCCGCGUGCAGGAUGACGGCCUUCGGGUUGUAAACUGCUGUCAGGGGUGAGGAAAAGUCACGGACGAAUAAUCCGUGGCCUUGACGUUAACCCCAAAGGAAGCCACGGCUAACUCUGUGCCAGCAGCCGCGGUAAUACAGAGGUGGCAAGCGUUGUUCGGAUUCAUUGGGUGUAAAGGGUAGGUAGGUGGCUGUGCAAGUCUGUUGUGAAAUCCCAGGGCUCAACCCUGGAACUGCAAUGGAAACUGCAUGGCUUGAGCGUUAGAGAGGUGAGGGGAAUUCUUGGUGUAAGGGUGAAAUCUGUAGAUAUCAAGAGGAACACCUGUGGCGAAGGCGCCUCACUGGCUGACUGCUGACACUGAACUACGAAAGCUGGGGGAGCAAACAGGAUUAGAUACCCUGGUAGUCCCAGCCGUAAACGAUGUGGAUUAGGUGUUGGAAGUGUCGAUCCUUUCAGUGCCGCCGUUAACACAUUAAAUCCACCACCUGGGGAGUACGGUCGCAAGACUGAAACUCAAAGGAAUUGACGGGGACCCGCACAAGCGGUGGAGCAUGUGGUUUAAUUCGAGGCUACGCGAGGAACCUUACCUGGGCUUGACAUGAUGGCAGUAGCCCUGAUGAAAGUCGGGGCGAUCGUAUCCAAUCGAAGGUUAUCACAGGUGCUGCAUGGCUGUCGUCAGCUCGUGCUGUGAAGUGUUGGGUUAAGCCCCGCAACGAGCGCAACCAUUGCCCUUAGUUGCCAACAGGUUAAGCUGGGAACUCUAAGGGGACUGCCAGUGAUAAACUGGAGGAAGGUGGAGAUGACGUCAAGUCAGCAUGGCCCUUACGCCCAGGGCUACACACGUGCUACAAUGGCUGGUACAAUGGGCAGCGAACCCGCGAGGGGGAGCAAAUCCCAAAAAGCCGGCCCCAGUUCGGAUUGCAGGCUGCAAUUCGCCUGCAUGAAGUUGGAAUCGCUAGUAAUGGCACAUCAGACACGGUGCCGUGAAUACGUUCCCGGGUCUUGUACACACCGCCCGUCAAGCCACCUGAAUCGGGAGUACCCGAAGUCGUUGAUCCAACCCUCACGGGGGGAAGACGCCGAUGGUAAAUCCGGUGAGGAGGGCUAAGUCGUAACAAGGUA
Molecule: ribosomal RNA, 1511 nt
Filed under: metagenome
Description: bacterial SSU rRNA
Rfam family: Bacterial small subunit ribosomal RNA
Source: RNAcentral